AAGAGUUGCUACAUUUAGCUGAAAGUUAUCAUUUGGGGUUCUAGUGAUGGGUGGUCAUUGAUGCUGUCAGGGAGGUAACUGCACAGGCCUGUGUCCCUGAGGAGCAGCACCACCGAGCCUCCAUGCACUGCCUGAUGUGUCCAAGUCAACACAGGAAUAUGCUUCAAAGAAGAAUAUGCAACCUUCAGUGCAUGGAAUUGAACAAUGACCACCCCAGAAAUAACUACUGAGACUGAAUUAUUAUGGAAAAUAGACUUCCUCCAGCAUCUUCUAAUA
This 276-nucleotide long non-coding RNA is filed under the name Fukomys damarensis (Damara mole-rat). RNAcentral describes it as "lncRNA (ENSFDAG00000023828.1)". The record is from RNAcentral. Lineage: Eukaryota; Metazoa; Chordata; Mammalia; Rodentia; Bathyergidae.